RNAcentral lists this ribosomal RNA (253 nucleotides) under uncultured bacterium. Its description in RNAcentral is "partial 16S ribosomal RNA". It matches the Rfam family "Bacterial small subunit ribosomal RNA", at positions 524 to 776 of the family's 1533-position model. The record is from RNAcentral.
UACGAGGGGGGCGAGCGUUGUUCGGAAUUACUGGGCGUAAAGCGCACGUAGGCGGCCUUGUAAGUUAGAGGUGAAAGCCCAGGGCUCAACCCUGGAAUUGCCUUUAAGACUGCAUCGCUUGAACACGGGAGAGGUGAGUGGAAUUCCGAGUGUAGAGGUGAAAUUCGUAGAUAUUCGGAAGAACACCAGUGGCGAAGGCGGCUCACUGGACCGUUGUUGACGCUGAGGUGCGAAAGCGUGGGGAGCAAACAGG